This 732-nucleotide ribosomal RNA is filed under the name Ralstonia sp. RZ2MS19. Its description in RNAcentral is "bacterial SSU rRNA". It matches the Rfam family "Bacterial small subunit ribosomal RNA", at positions 57 to 780 of the family's 1533-position model. The record is from RNAcentral. Lineage: Bacteria; Pseudomonadati; Pseudomonadota; Betaproteobacteria; Burkholderiales; Burkholderiaceae.
GCAGUCGACGGCAGCAUGAUCUAKCUUGCUAGAUUGAUGGCGAGUGGCGAACGGGUGAGUAAUACAUCGGAACGUGCCCUGUAGKGGGGGAUAACUAGUCGAAAGAUUAGCUAAUACCGCAUACGACCUGAGGGUGAAAGUGGGGGACCGCAAGGCCUCAUGCUAUAGGAGCGGCCGAUGUCUGAUUAGCUAGUUGGUGGGGUAAAGGCCCACCAAGGCGACGAUCAGUAGCUGGUCUGARAGGACGAUCAGCCACACUGGGACUGAGACACGGCCCAGACUCCUACGGGAGGCAGCAGUGGGGAAUUUUGGACAAUGGGCGAAAGCCUGAUCCAGCAAUGCCGCGUGUGUGAAGAAGGCCUUCGGGUUGUAAAGCACUUUUGUCCGGAAAGAAAUGGCUCUGGUUAAUACCUGGGGUCGAUGACGGUACCGGAAGAAUAAGGACCGGCUAACUACGUGCCAGCAGCCGCGGUAAUACGUAGGGUCCAAGCGUUAAUCGGAAUUACUGGGCGUAAAGCGUGCGCAGGCGGUUGUGCAAGACCGAUGUGAAAUCCCCGAGCUUAACUUGGGAAUUGCAUUGGUGACUGCACGGCUAGAGUGUGUCAGAGGGGGRUAGAAUUCCACGUGUAGCAGUGAAAUGCGUAKAGAUGUGGAGGAAUACCGAUGGCGAAGGCAGCCCCCUGGGAUAACACUGACGCUCAUGCWCGAAAGCGUGGGGAGCAAACAGGAUUA